Molecule: long non-coding RNA, 22134 nt
Filed under: Xyrichtys novacula (pearly razorfish)
Lineage: Eukaryota; Metazoa; Chordata; Actinopteri; Labriformes; Labridae
Source: RNAcentral
GCUGUUCUGAGCAUUAUUUGUGGCUAUAGAGUGGCGUUUUGGUUGAGGUUUGUUUAUGGCUCCUGAGAUCGCUGUCUAUUGCUAUCAUGCGGUCGUUACUAAAGUUGGCAUAACUAGAGAAGCAAGCGGUCAGCAACAUUUAUCUCUCGAGGGGGUGUCUAACUCGGUGUUAUGGUGUGUUUGACCCCUAAUUAAUUUUACGCCGGAAUAUCCCUUUAAACCCUAGCUUGACUUCACUGUGCAUGUGAAUAUACUGACUGCAGCUCAUAUGGGGUCUUACUGAAAAAUGGGCCAAAGAAGGAAAGUAGCACACCUGCAGAGGCUGGACCAUGUGAUUUGAACAGAAGAGCCACUGAAGCUUGAAUGAAAGAGGAAAACUGUAAAGACAGAGAGAAGAAGCUUCUUUUCAUGGCUUUGCAGAUGCAAACACAGUUGCUCUAUAGGCCUAUUUGUUUGCUCCUGUCGAUAAAUCCAUGCGCUUUGAUGCGCUUUCUUUCUGUACAGUACUGCAGAGGACCAUUCACAGCGCAUGGGAAUGAUCAUCAAACAGGAACGGGCCCAUCUUCUUUCUACUGUGUUUACAUCCACACAUCCUAAUGGCUCUUCCCAAGCUGUCAGGCGGCCUGUUGAUCAAUAGCUGCACUCAAGUGUCCUCAGUGGAGAACACAGAGAAGGACGCAGAAAUACAUCAACACAUAAUACCCGGUAUUUAUUUAUACUCCCAGUGUGUGUGCCCUUUUCUUUAUUCCCACUGUAAACAGUGUUGUUGAUGGCACCAGUGAUAAAAUGAGAUGUCAGCUCUUAUUGUCUGCCUUUACUCAUCACCCCGGCUAUUUUAGCUUCUUGCUGUGCGACCACAGCAGAGCAGACGAUGAGGGCCACUUGAGAGUUGUGCUUCUUCUCUGCGGCCUGAUAAAUCCCGGACAGAACGGUGUGUCACAAAGGCUGCAGAGGUGGCGUCAGAGAGAGUGAGAACGGGAAAUGGAAAUUGAGCACAUGCACUUCAAAAGGGGAAGGCUGGGAUUCAAUCAAGGCUGCGCUGACUGAUCAAUGGGAAACAAAUGAGAGCAUGGUCUAAGACUAGUAUGAUGUAAGGACGGUCAGAGGAUUUCCUCACAGUCUUGAAUUAAGUAUGAGGAAGAAGGACACGAUAGCUGUGUGAAAAUCUUUUGUCCAAAAACAACUAAUUGCAGCAGGAAAGUGAUGUCUAACUGAUCCGUAUUUUACUUCUAAUGCAGCCUGUGCAGAAUGUAAAACUCUCUCCUCAGCUUUUAUCCUUACCAAAAUAACUUCUUAGCUCAGAGCAGAAGCUACUCAGAUAAUUUACCCCCUGCCACUCUGUAUUUCUGUUUUUUCCCUGACCUUGAUUUCAAGGUAAGCUCUAAAAAAAACACAGCUUACGCCUGCUAAUGCACUGCGGUUUGACCUCGCUCUUGUAGGACCGCACAGAUUCUAACUGGUAAUGGUUAUUGUUCGGGAGUCGUGACCCUCGAUUUAGCUGGGCUGGUUUCACCCAGGCAUGAGAGUGAAGUUGACAAACAGCCACGCCUGUAAGCGGUUUUCCAAUCUGACCUUUGACCUGGCUGUAUAAAUUGGACUUAAUGUACAGCUACGACUCAGUGUUUUCUAUUUUUAUCCAUUCGCACACAAACAAACAGCACACACUUAUAUGUCUAUUGCCCAUAAAAUGCAAAUCCUUGUUUCAGGCCACAUUCACAUUAAAGUCCUUUUGAUGGUAACAAAUUAAAUAUCAGCAAUUUCUGCAUUUAAAAAAAAAAGAAGAAGAUAGAAAACCCAAGUUUAAGUAGGAAAAGAGCAAAACAUGAGAAAUUUAAGCACUUGCUGCAGCCAUGGAAGCAAUUUCUGAUCGCUUCAGGAAAAAUUCAGUUGGCUUUCAAAUAUAACAUUGAAACUAAAAUGACUAAAAUGUGACUGCGUUCUGAAACUAAACCAGGACUUUCAAUAAAAAAUGGCUAAAACCUAGCUUAAACUAAAAGGCUUUUUCAUCUAAUUACAAGAAGUAAAUCCAGAAUAGCUCCCAAAAUUAACACUGAUGGUCUGACAAGCAUCAACAUUCUGGUUUAUUGGUGGUCAGUCCCACCAUUUCUAAUUAAUUAAAAUCUGUAGAGCUUUUGAAUUGUGACUUUUUCAAAUUACUAUAUAUCCUCAAAGUGGCUCAUGCCAGUCUCCGGUGGGUUAAAGUUCCUUUAUAUACAUUAUAUAUAUUCAGUAUUUCUUUCCCUGGCAGCCCCACUGUGGGCCUGACAGUUAUGGUUAUGAAUGAAAUGUUUUGCCAACGACUUAAUGCCCUGUCAUAAAUUUUGGCUCUUAAGCUCACCUUCAACAGUCUGUAAUUACUUUGGCGAUCCUCCGGCUUUCCAUUCACCUAAAGCAAAAAAAAAAAAGUCAGAUACUGUGAUUUAUAACUAUAAAUGCCUGAAAUAUUAAUAUUACCUGUGGCCUAAGGCAACCCUUUGAGUCGGGUCACUCAUAGCUCAUAAACACUCUACACUAAGGUGGUGAAGAUAAUAAGACAAAGCCCCAAUUAACUGAAUAUCUGUGUUUAUGAAAGAAAACAAGGGGAAUAUGCUCAGUUAUGGCAAACAUAAUCUCUUUUUGACUUUCUUUGACUUGAUUCUAAUUCGCAUAGACUGUAUCUAGAAUCUGUCUGCCUCCUCGCUGGGUGAAGCCACCCCGAGAGGGCUGCUGUAUAGGUCAGAACACAUUGAACAAACUUUGGAAAUAAUUACACAGAACAUAAUUUUUUCUCCACACUGCUUGUGAUUGUUGACAUGUAGUCAUUGUAAGACUGGUUUGUGCUCAAGUCCUCUUUUUUCUGUGCAGCUCGGUUUUUAAAAGUUAUUAGGCUGUAUCAGGUGUCAAUCAUAGAAAACAUGAACCCCCUAUGGGCGUAUGAAGAUUGCGUAGCUCACACGGGGGAUACGCUGUUUGAGCCGAGCGUCAUCACAGCAACUCUCAGCGACUCUCCCGCCGAAUGCGUACAACGCUACUGCGCAAUGUUGGUUUCAGGAAGUGGAGAAAAAUCGCUGAAUUACUGAGAGCUUUUUGGCUUCAAAUCUGUAUAUUGGCAGGAGGCGGAACCAAGUUGUCUGUAGUAUAUACAUGGUAAUGGUCUAUGGUAAUUACUUAUAGUUUCCAAGUUAUGAAAACUAUGCGCUGCAUCAUUUUGGUGACACCAUUUUUGCUCUAAUGGACGUACUUUGAUUGUACAUGUUUGUUAACUUUUUUUAAAUUGCAUAUGAAUCUAUACAAAAUCUCAAACUAAUCUGCUUAUAUCUAACAAUGUUUGACCUUUUGGAAGGUUUCACCAACAUUUCAGGGCCUCUUGAGUGGCCAACAGUUGGCGAUAAUGGACUUUGGUGCGUGACUUCAUUACACUACACUUGUAUUUGUUUACAAUCCAUCUAGGAACUUACAAAAUGAGAAUGGAGUUAGUUUGACAGACCGUGUCCAAGAUUGGUUUUGUAGCUGCAGUUGUUUACAGAUAUCCAUUUGGACAUAAAGUCAUAACCUUAGUAUGACUCAGAACAGAUUAAAAACUGUGUUUUGCCUCCUCUUCCGAUAAUAGACUAAUAAUCUUUUUACAACCUUAUUUGCUUCAGUGGUUUUGUUGUUAAUACUGCACUGGGACCAAACCCAGAACACUGCCCAUACAGAAACUCAAUUCUGCGAUUGCAGAUUCAGAACAAAUAUGUAUUUUAUAUAAAUAACAAACAGAUUUAGUUCAAUUUAAAAGAGAUUUAACGCAUCAAACAAAGAUUGUGUUUCUUCCAGCUGAAAAUGGUAAAACACAUGAUAAUUUAAAGCAAUGUAGUGUGUGGCUCCUGAAACCUGAAAGGAAAAGUUCAAUUGCUUCUCUAUUAUUUUAAAAGCACUUUUUGCUACAUUGCUUGCAUGAAUUAAACUAUUGAGAACAGGAAAUGUAUAAAGAGACGCAUGUAUAUUUACUGUAUCUACGCUUCAUGUCCAUUUUAUAUGUUUGUACAGCCUCUGUCUCUCCGAGGUUGAUGGGAGGAUUAUUAAGGCCACUACUCUGUCAUACAGCAGCCCAUAAUAAAGUCUUCAGAAGUCCCUUUUAGACUUUGUUUAUGCAUUAUUUAAGUCAGCGUGUAAUACAGUGACCUACUAUAGAACUGGCUAUUUUUAACACCAAUUACUACCUCCCAGGAGAUGAAGAGAGAAUAAAAGACAAGCGGGAAAGAAAGAGAGAGAGAGAGAUUUGAUUCAAAGUAGAGAGUGUUACACUGAAGUACUGAACCAUCCACAAACCCCCUCCCCCCAGACCUAUCUUCCCUUUCUGAUCAUCAGCAGAUGAUAUCCCAGCUGUAUUACAGAGUAGGAGGUGGCAUCUCCUCUUCGUUUCUCCUCCUUCGUGGUUCAAUUAGAGAGGUGUGUCGGGCGCUUCUUCACAUGACCACACACACAUUCACGGACAUGCCAAACAGAUAACUGAGCAAUUUAUGUCCGGAUAUAGCUGCUGCUCUGGUCACAGGCUCCCAGCCAAGCACAUAAAGGGCUUCACACACCUCGAGUCUUAAAUUAGCAACAAGUAUGCCCAAGUGGUCAUCAUUACUUCAUCCUAAUGCGGUCAGGAAGGUGACUCUUGAAGGAUGGAACUGCAAUAGCCUACUCUCUACAUUGAAAUACAUAUCAAACAUAUAUAUUUCAAUCAUUGUAAGUUAUAAGUCAUCAGCACAAUCGAGAUGAUUAAAAUGUUGUUGAAGAUCGGUCCCUGAAAGUAAAUAACUGGUGGUCCAAAGUGAAAUCUUGAAGCCAAAAGUCCCCGAUUCCUGGAGACAGUCCCUGCAUUGGAUGACCUGUCCUUGGCUAAAGCUGUCCCUGGAAAUGUCUCUGACUUAAGCGUUUCAUGAAUGAGAACAAAAAUGUUGCGUGUAGACUAGAACGGUUGUUACAGUAGCCAAAUAGGUAGGAAGCAUGAGUAAGCAUGUUGUGCGCAGUCCUGAACAACAGUUUUUACGGGGGGUUGUUACAGAGGGUGUGCGGUGCUUCUAAGUAGUACCAAUGUUGUCUGUGAUCACGCAGCCCACCCCAUCCCCCCGCUCUGGAUUUCCCCAGAUUUCACUACAGAAAUCUGGUCACCUUAGUACACUUUGCAAUUAUGCUAAUGCCAAGUAUGGACACUUUAAUACGAUGGGCAUGGUUUUACUGAAGUGAGAUAUUUAUAAAUUUCUAGAUAGAUUGGACCUUACAAACGAAUGCUGUGUUUACUUUCAAACUGACAGCAGACUUUUGGUACUAGCCAUUCAGUGACUUGUUAAAAGGAGCUCUUACCUUAUCCUUGACUGAUUUUGACUUUCUGUAGAAUUAUGAUUAUCUGCUGCAGCUGUUUUGGGUUUAAUCCCAUUGGCUGUCGUUAGAUUUGGGCUUUUGGCUUGCAAACCCACAUAUGUAUAUAACAUAAGCUAAAAACACACAGCUGUCAUUAAACAUAGGAUGACCUUAUGUCCUCUUUUACCCGGACAUGUCCUCUUUUGGGGGGGCUGUCCAGGCUUGUCCGCCUCUGUCCGGAGAAGUUUGUCAAAUUCUUCAAAUGUCUGCGGUUUUGUACAGAAGUUUUGAGUUUGUGUGAUGUUGACUUACUGAGUCAGAAGCAUGUAAAAAGACACUCAAUCCUACUUGAAAAACUCUCAAAAUUAACUUUGUGCGACUCCGUGACUCCAGCCCUGCACAGUCGUGUCUUCUUUUUAGGAAGUCAGGAUAUGGUCACCCUAUUAAACGGUACUUUUAUAGCUUUAAGAACAGAUAGAAUGAAGUGCACGAAUAUGUUGCUAGGAUGUCAAAUAGGCCUGUUGCAGUAUCAGAUUUUUACCCCACAUUUAACAUGCCAUAAAAUAUCAUGAUAUUAAUACAAACUUGAAAAUAAAAAGACACAAAUUGAGAAAAAGGGGAUACAAAGAUGGAGAAAAAUAUUACUUCAUAAACUUCAUUUCGUAAUCCUGUAUUAUACUUCCAGUAGGUCAUAAGUGACAGAAUUUAUAUAGUUUGACAACACGACCAGAAGUGUAAAAGUGCUGAAUCAUCUCUCAGAGGGCUGCUUCAGUUUGUUAGCUGACAGUCUGCUACUCCUCUUCACCUAUCCUCCAUUGUAUUAACUGUGGCACUACUAUAAACGUAUGGUACUUUCAUAUGCCUGUUUUUAGCAUGAUAUCAAUAAUCUAUUUCUAAAAGAUGAUGGUCUCACCAAAAUCUUAAUUAACUACUCCUGUUCAAACCUUGAAAAACGGUCUAAAUAAACCUGCAUUUUAGUUACAUCUUCUAAUAGUUUGUUUUUGUUAGUUUCUCUCAGGUAUGAGAUGAAACUUCCCUUCAUCUUUCUUCUUCUUCUUCUCUCUUCAAAGACACUGCGACGACCAGCGACUGUGAAACAAUCGUGUAGGCACAGGAUGAUAAGGAUUAGGAGAUGAUUAGGACUCCGAGUGGGGGAAGUCAGGGCUCUUAUCAGUCAAAUUAGUGCGUUAAUGGCUUCAAGGUCAGCUGCUGGAGCUUUUAAAAGACGACUCAUGCUUUUAACACCCUCACAAGCCCUCUGUCUAUGUAAGAGGAGCUUUAAGGAGUCACAUUAUCUGCUGAAACUGUCUUGUCAUCCAUGUGGUUGAAGAUCUUCGUGGUUUUAAGAGACAAUCUUUUUAAUAAAGCGAAAAGGCUUCAAUCUAUUUAUGUCCACAUAAUCUCAUCUUUUGUUUUUGCCUUUUAUAUUCACGCCGAGGCUUCUUCUUGUAAUACUUCUUGCUUGAGUUUGAUCGAUUGUGAUAACCUUGCCAGCUGAUUUUAUUGAGCUUAUGUUUGGGAAAAAGAGGCUCACUUCAUAAUAAAAAUCCAAGUACUUGCCAUAUUUUUUUUCCUGGCAUGUCCACCCUUUUCCAGCUUCCAUGUGCUUUAUGCAGAUGGUUCCUGUUGGACAGGCCACUAAAGGAAAUCACAACAAUAGAAGGGGGGGUUGGACUGAAUAGUAAAACUCGUGCUUUCCCAGACUAGUACUGGGUUAGCAUUUACCGGCAUGCUGUCCUCAUGUGCGCACACUCUCUUCUCAUUACCGCUCCCUCUUAUCAGUGCAGGUCAACUAUCAGUAUGUUUACAUGUUGUUCAAAAAUCCAUAUAUUGAGUUAAACUAACUGAAACUGGACUUUAAACAUACGUGCAAACACAUUAAUCAGAUUGAAAUCUCAUUAAAUCUAAUUUCUCCUGUUGGGCGUAACAUUGGAGAUCGAUUGUUUCUUACAUGUUUGCGCCUCCAUCAAAGUCAAACUGGCCCAAGUGUUUUUCACAAGCGCUUUCGUUUGCACAAUCAGCCUCAACCUGAAAGUUUAAUAGCAUGUAGUAAUAGGCGAGUUAGAGACAGGCUAAUGGGUCAUUCCAUGUCAAUUCAACCAAGAAUCUCCACUCAGGUCACAGAUUUUGAUUAAAUUUGGUGGAGUCAUUGGCCUUCAGGAGAAACUGUCAGAGCUCAAAUAUUUUUGUUCAAAACCAUCUAAUUAGUGAGAUAGGGGCUAAUGAAUUUUUGGCUAACUAGCAUGACAUGCGUUACAAAAGUGUUCAUAUCUCUGGAAGUAUGGCACCUAGAGAGCUGAUUCAGGUGUCAUUUUAAAGCUCUUCUCCCAUGAAGCUUAGAUCAUUCAUAUUCUGGAUAUAGGUGCAAAUAGAAAUGAAAUGCAAUGAAAAACUGAGCAAAAAUAAUCUAUUCUAGCCAUUUUUCAUAUAAAUAUGGGAUAAUAUACCUAUGAAAAAACUCAAAAAAAGCAUUUUGCACUAUGAGGAAGUAAUAUUUUACACAAGCAGGCAAGUUGGGCUGACUCCAGGUGAGGUCAGGACUGUAUAAUGUGCCAAAUUUGGCGAUUUUUGACCUAAUGUAUCACACAUUUUGACUGAUUACUCAAAAAGUUAUGGAAUGCCCAUCCUGAAACUUGCAGGGAUGCUAGUGGACAUGAUAGUCUUUCUUAAGUGUGAAUAUAAAGAAAAUUGAAGGACGUGUGUUUUUUGCUAUUUCCAAUUUAAGUUUUUGGUGUUUUAUAAUUUUUUUCUGGUCCAAUUUGGGAACAAAAAGAUAGAACUUGAAGAGAGCUUUAAAAUGACACCCGAAUCAGCCCUCUUGGUGCCAUACUUCCAGAGAUAUGAACACUUUUGUAACGCAUGUCAUGCUAGUUAGCCAAAAAUUCAUUAGCCCCUAUCUCACUAAUUAGAAGGCUUUGAACAAAAAUAUUUGAGUUCUGACAGUUUCUCCUGAAGGCCAAUCACUCCACCAAAUUUCAUCAAAAUCUGUGACGUGAGUGGAGAUUCUUGGUUGAAUUGACAUGGAAUGACCCUAAUGUAUCUUAAAGGACUGGUGUCAAAUCAUACUCCCCCUGGUGUUCAGCUUCUGAAAUUUUCAGCAACACAGUGAGAGUUCCUGACUCCUAUUUUCUGUCUGCCUCAGCCUCUUACUUUUCUCUCUCCACAACUAAUCAAGUCCCCGGUAUGACCAACCGUGGUGAAGCAUAGACUUGUCAGCAGUUGUCUCAUGAGGACAGAGCGCUCGAAUCUCACGUUCUCGCUCCGAUCUGCAGCGCAAUAUUCUAUCGACGUGGAGAUGCAUGUUUUACACAAACACCUAAACUCUUCCAUGUGCUGCAUAUGUUUGUUUCUCACACAUACAUACAUACAUUCUUAGUGUUCAGAGUUUCAAUUACAGCUGGUACCUGCUUGCCUGUCCCACAUAGAGGAUGAAAUGCCAGGCGGUAUGACAGGUGCGGGUGGAUAUUAUGCUUGUGGAGCAACCUCGGCCUGCUGCAGAGAAAGCCAGAGAGGGAGGGAGGGAAAUAUUAACAGCUGAAUAAAAUGAUGGUGACAGCAGAAAAUGGCAGCGGCGCUCCAACAUGGUGCUUAUGGAUUUAUUUGCCAUGUGUGACUCGAAGUGGGGAGAUAGAGAGAUAUGUCACCGGGAGUCUCUGGAUGACAUUUUGUCAUCACUCUCUCUGGUUAGGUCUCAGUCAUAUGAGACCUACUUUAUGUAAUGACAUAAUGAUCCCUAUUUUAUGCAUCAUGGAUGAACCCUGCUGUGGCACUUUAUGCAGCCUGCACAACGACUGGAGGUAAAAAUUUACAUGAGCCUCCAGUAGAUUCAAUUUCCUUGUUUUUCUUAAACAAUUCGUCUUACUUUCCUCUCUCUCAGUUUGAACUCUUUUUUUUAAUCAGUUCCAAUCUGGAAAUCUGGGAUGCAGUUUGGUAAACAAAAGCCAACUUUAAAUGAACUACCAAACGAGUUUACUCAGAACUGAAAACAAAACUCCUUCAUUGCUUCACCAAAUUGCGAGCAGAAUGAGGUCAUUAAUGGAAAUUCACCACAGCCACCGUGCCCCAGCACUUUUUCUGCAUGGAUUUCAGGCUUUAAGGAUCCAAAUUAAACACACUUUUCUUCAAUCAGAUAUAUGGCAUGUGAAAUACAGAUAUAUUUAAGUCCAUGUCAAGUCAAGGGGGAAUCUAUUGGUCACAGGAAUGAAAGUCAGGAAACUUUUAAUAAAGCAGCAAAAAGUUUCUUUUUACACAGUUUUGUUGAAAUGUUGUGCUUUAGCUCUCCAUUCAGCCAUGUUAGCAUACAUUAGAUACUGUUGUCCUAUAUUAUGCUGUAAUGUUACUAACAGGUUAUACUUACAAGUCAGCGUAAAAAAUCUUAAUCGGUAUCGGUAAAGACUUUUCAGAGUUGUCUGUUUUGAUACAUCACUACAGGUGACAAAGGUAAAAAGUUAUAACAUCAGCAACAUUAAGGGCCUAUGUCCACUAAUGGCAUUCAUCAAUCUCCUUUACAGAACCAGUGCAAUUUAGCAUUUUCAGUGUGAAGGUACGUGAAGAUACAUGGCGAGUCUAUUUUUGCUGCUCUACGCUUCCAAUGCAUGUCAAUCCACAGAGAGAGGAUCGUGACAGGAAAUCAAACACAAAAAACGGGCAUGUCAUUCAGUAUUUCAAAAUAAAACACCAUAUGUGGACUCCCGACUGUGUAUCAGUUUAUGUAGAGGAGAAAUACUUCCUGGUUAUGGAUUUAUCAGUAAUACAGAACAAUCCGACCGGGGUUGCACUACGCUGCUGCCAUGCUCCAAAUAUGCAUUUUGUAUACGAUACUAAAUGCUGCUAUACAUAACAAAUACGGAACACACUCAAGACAGAUCCUGUAUGUUUUCAGCUUUCAUGUUGGACUUACAGUGCACUCAGAUGAAAAAUAGUUGAACCCAUGGAACACUGCCUCUCAGUCCAGCAUCACUUUCCUCCACUGACCAAUCAGAAUCAAGAAGAAGCAGGAAGUCUGACACCAACUUAGUUAACAAGUAGAGUUGAUGCCUCCUCUGUUACAGAGAAAUUUCCCCAGUUGCUAAAGCAAAAGGCAGACUUUUUUUUCAGUUGUGUGUAUAUUAAACUCCUAAAAUUCAAUUUUAUCAAAGAAAAAUAAAACAUACUGAUGAUUUUAAAGUGGACUGUGACCCAACGGCUGAAAUACCAAUGAAAAGCACUUUGACAUUUGAAAUUGAAUUGUAUUUACUUUCACUGCAGAAAACUCUGUUAGCGGACACCGGCCUUUGGUUUAAUAGUGAACAUUUCUGCUACUUCUUGCAGACUAGAUCUAAUUUUAGAAAUAAUUAAACAAUUUAAAAGGAACACAAAUGCAGGAUUGCUUACUCCACUUUGUGCAUUUUGUCAAAAUGUACCACACGGUAACAUUGUGUGAUUGUAGAAGCUUCUACUUUGUCUUUUUUGGCGUGUUUCUUGCUAAAACGCUCAAUUUUUAAACUUUCUUUUAGUUGAGUUAUGUCGGUGAAGAAGUGCAACACAGCUUGAAAUGUGCCUCUUGCAUUGGCCUGCAAGGUUGGCGCUGAAUUACAUCAGCGCUGUGCAAACAGUGAAUUACCGAUCAUUGCAUCUCAUGUCAUUUUUAUUCAACUUGUCUUGCUUGUGAAAGGUCGGUGUCAACACAAGCCCUGCAAAAAUAAUAAAUAAAUAAAUAAAGUAAUACCUUGUGGUUGCCAUAUCCUCUGCCUUCCCCUCUAUGACCAGGAAAUCUUAUCACAGGAACCACUGCAUAACUGAAAAAAAAUCAACUCUUCUAAAUUCAGAGAGUUCAAGACAGGUUGCCCAUUGAUUUUUUUUAGUGGUGCUGCAUCUCAUGUGCUCCUGUGAUGGUUUAGAAAAAAACCUACAAAGACAUGAAUCUCUGCGUCACCUCUAGCUCUCCUUGAUAGUACGAGUACUCGACACAGUUUCUGCAACAGACGCUAUCAGAUAACAGAAUUAGAUGCUGAGAUCCUUUCCCAUCAAUUAUCUGGGUGCUCUUCCAUGUUAGACUCCUGCUGCUUCUCAGUCAUCCUUUCUCCCCAACAUCCUUGAGGGAGGAUAAGUUGAAAUGCCGUAUCGAUUUCUACCAUUUCUCACAUUGUUGCCUUCAGUGGUUGGCUGGUUUUGGUAGUGUUACUUUAAUUCUCUUUUUCAGUCUCUCACUUCACUGUAGCAUGUCAGAUAAAACAGGCAGAGUCUACAAAAGAUCCACGACUAUGCUAACAGUCAAAAAAAGCAUCUCAGGUCUGGUUGGUGAACAAUGUUGAAGAGCGUGAAUAACUUUAAAACAAAAUUCGGAGACAUCAAAGACCUCCAGAAAUGCAUCUCCGAAACCCAAAGGGAAUAUUACACUCCUCUUUUAUUUUCUCCUCCUUUGUUCGUUUAAAUCUUCCACUUUUCAUCUUCAGUCUCCUGGACAAUGAGGAGGUAUCUGGUGAUUUCAAUGUCAGAGGGAGAAGCUUUUUUUCUUUCUUUCAUGUAUGCAGAUGAAACAUGUAAAAUCCCACAGGUUGCCGUCUAAAUCAGUGAUUCCCAACCAUACCCGUUUGUACUACAGGGUGUAAAACUGUAGUUGGAGAAUAAGUGGGCUGAUUGUGGAGAAGGUAGUAGAAGAAAUUAGGAUUUGAUUGAAAAUACAUGCAUGAAUUUGACUUUAGAUGACACCUAGCAUGGGCUAACAAUUAGUUACAAUGUAACAGAUAAGUAACUACUAAAGAAGUAGUAAAGCAGGGUUGCCAGGUGUACAAUAAUUACCGUAUUUGUGCGAUAAUUUUGCCCUCUGUACGAUCAAUAACCAAGAAAAAAGGCCAAAUGUACGAUAAUUUGACAGUUUCGUGAACGUAUGGUGCAAUAGGACUGUUUCAGUCUGCCAGACUCUUCAUUUUUCUGUUUUUUAUUUGCGAACCCUGAAGGCAUCUUUCACCACGUGACGUUUCCAUCCAGUAGUAGUUUGAGCGACGUUUGUCUACGAACAACAAGCAUGAUUGGCUGUCAAUCAUGCUCAUUCGGUUAGUCAGUUGAAAAGGACGGUGAUUACCGGGAGCCAAAUCCUCGUGUGAGGACAAGUUGAUUUUUGUGUCUAAAAUAGAUUUCACUGAGUUAAGUCAGAUUACUCUGUUUUUCCUGGUCAGUUAUUAUGAAUAUUGUUUCACAAAAGUAGGUGGCCUCAAGGUCUCAUAGUUUGGCUCAUUUUAAGGGGACACAUUUGUGUAGCACAGCUGAGUUGGAGUAGCUGAUCAUACGCUGCUGAUGUGGGGCGGGGUGGUGAAUGGCCACAAAACUGUAGCCACAAAAUCGUGAGUGACUGUAGGACACUAAAUAGAGUGACUAUAUGUGACUAUUAUGCAACAGUAAUGUUGUUAUUUUGAUUUUGAUGAGUGUAAAAUAUUUUUUUCCCAAAUACGAUAAGUUUGAGUCUCUGAUACGAUAAUUCUAUAUUUCCCAUCUGGUAACACUGUAGAAAGUAACAGACACAAUGUUAAUGAUAAACUUAAAUUUACAUAGUUAUCAGAUUAUCAGAUUUAACGAUUGUCCGUGUCGCAGUUUACAAGCACUGGGCAGAAAUCAAUUUAUUGACAGAAGUGUGUUCACCUCUGUUACAGUAGACGACGACACGCCCCCUUUCAGCUUGGGUCGUCUUCAUACUGACACAUUCGGUUUCAAAUCAGUCAAAUUGUCACUUGAACAUCUCUGUAUGAUUUGAUGCCUUGCUCAAGCCACUUCAAAAGUGCUCAGGAGGUGACCUAGCUACCCGGUCAAACUCUUGAACCAGCAACCCUCCAAUCCCCAACCCUUCCAGACUGAGCUACUGCCGCCCCUUUCUUUGCUUGUUGAGUUUUUGUUUACAACUGGCUUCCUAGCAACGCAUCCAAUCUAUUCAGCUUCCCAACAAGCCUGGCAUGCAAACACUACGGCAUGCGCAGGACACCAGUUUCAGUUCGAUUGAGCCAGAGCAAAUCGACACCCAACCGCAUUAUCCAAGGAAUGCUGGACUAUGAAAGGCGAUUUCAGUCAGAAGUCAAGUUUCAGUCAGACAAUACAUCCAUUUUUUGAACAACAUUUAAACGUAGUGUGUAAUAUAUUGACUGCUAAUAGAAAGAAGGGUGAGAUUUUAAUCUUACCAGAAAAUACAACUACACACACGUAGGACAAAAUCUGUGGAAGUGUAGCGCUUCAUUGACACAGAAGUUUGAACAAUUGCCCGAAUAAAUUUUCACUGAAGUACAUGUUCAGGAACAUUUGAGUUAAUAGCUCCUGAAGGGUUACCUAAGCAUAUCUGAAAGAAAUGUUGAGGAAUGUGUUUUUCAAACUGCUGCUUCAUAUACUUUCAAUUAUUCUGAAGGUAACAGGGGUAGAACAGAACAGAACAGAACAGAACAGAACGUCUUAUUAUACUUUGUUCCUGUGUGAUUCCCAAUGUCCUGUGUUCAAAUAUAAUAAAAGAAGACCUUACUCAUUUCGCUGGUCCCCCAUUGAAACCCUUCAAGGACCCUCAGGGAUCCUCAGACCUCACAUAUCAUUAAACUACAAAUACUGGGAAAGAAAUAGGGUUGCAGCAGGAGGGUCUGCCGCUCUGCAGUGGCUCUUCCUCUCUUUUUUGUCUCCACUGAUUCCUCCCUGCAGGUGCACAAAUGAAGAACAGACUCACUACAUUGCUCACCGGCUUUGUUUUAAGUGCAGAACUUGAAAGGCCGCAGACUCCCACCCUGUUAAUUAGGCAAUUGAGAGAUCUGAGGCACAGGGGUAAUUUGGGUUAAAACAGCAACGUGUGUCAAGCAUUUAUCCAAAUGGCAUUUGCCAUCCACAACAAAGGUAGGGGGCAGCUGUGAUGUGAAUGCAGGCUCCUUUAAUAUUUCCUCUGCUUACACAUGCACAGGUUUUUAUUGCUCAGUGAUGAGCGGAUUGGCUGAUACGCUGGGACACGUACACUUCUUUCUACUCAUUGCACCCAAGUAAUGAAUUAUACCUGAAUUAAGAGCACCAUUAGAUGAGGUGAUUUACUUUCUCUCGAUCCUUUGAGAUUUUUUUUUCCCCGUUUACUGUACCCAUAUUUGGUUUGCACAGGGGGUAAAAAAAGCAAAAGAAAAGGGAAAAAAAGAUUGAUUUUAAUGGAUUUUGCUGGAGGAAACAUGAAGCAAGUUCAUUAAAUAACAAUGAGAGAGCAUCACAAUGUAACUUCAAAUGACGCCUCUAUGAGUAGGCUGUUUUUUUUUUUUACUCCGUGGCAGGAGCACAGCAGCCGUUUAAUAACUUGUCUGUUAUUCAUGAAAGAAGCAGGCGUAACCUUGAAGAAACCUUGUUUUCACAGAAACUCAUUUAAAGCUCAAAACAAAGGAGGAGAAAACUCAUAUCCCCCUUAACUGCGGUAUAUCUUCACUUGCUUGGUGGCACCUCUGUGGAGGAUAUGUUAUGUUCUUAAACUUCAUUCCAGCUGGGUUCGUAUUGUGAUAAAUCGAAGAGGUCUAAGAGUCCGCUUAGAAAACAAUGGAGGUGGAAACACAAAAAACUCUUUCUUCUCCUUUUCUUCUCUGGUUUAUUGCCUCUUUCUGUCCUGAACACAACAGCCUUAAUCAUCAGUGAGCAUUUGAAGCAGAAGUUAGUCCAGCUUUCAUUUGGAAAAGGGAAGUAAAAAUACAAAUUUAGAAGUUUUGCCUGUUUAAAGAGCAGUCUCUCCUGGCUAAUUAGAUCGCCUUAUCAAGUUGUUACCCUUGUGCUUCUCCAAAUCAGCAAUUAUUCCAUUUGCUUAGCGGAGAAUAUAUUCAUCACUUCCCCAUUAUGCUUUGUUUCCUCGUAAGAAUCAACUCUACUGCUCAGACGUCACAGAGUGGAGAUCAUGUCAACAGAGUACUGAAGGGAUUAACAGCACUGUACUUUGAUAAACUUGAUGGGUUUAAAAGUUUAAAAAGGUCAAGAGAAGGGCGUUCAGCGAGGCCAGAUGUUCUCCUAAGCCAAUGCUCCAAUCUUCUAGUAUCACAAUCAAUAUGUCAGGAUAUUUUUGUCAGAUCCAUGCUUGCCUGUGAGGCCAGCUCAGAUCUGGUGGAAGAUGUGAUGGAUUUUCUUGGCUCUGAAACACUUAUGCCAGUGUUUUUUUAUAUAUAUAAUAACUGAAACACAAACAGCUCCAAGAAAAUAAAAUCUCAUGGCGAACUGACCUCAAUCCUAAAAGAGCAUGACUGUGCUGUCUCCAUAAAGCAACCUACUAUCCCAAGUUAUAUAAUACCAUUAUCUUCAAAGUAAAUGGCACCAAAAUGUAAAUAAACUCUUUUCUUUGCAGGCUCUAGAGCGAUGAUAACAUGAUCAUGGUUAUAUCAUCAGGGUUGAAGCUAAAAGCUAAACCCAGAUCCAUUUAGAUUGUGUUUGUAUUCAUGGUUAGACAGAGCUACAUUGACUGUCUCCACACACCAAGCGUGAGUAAAAUCAUUUGUGCGAAUUUAUUAUAUGUUAAGUCAACGCAAAGACGCAAUUAGACGCUCCCACUAGUCUGGCGGCUCAGAUGAUGCAAAUUGGGCAGAAGGUGAAUAUGUUUCAACUCGAGCUGAUGUUCGCGUCGUGAAUUAAAUGAUACAAAUUAUAUGAUACCGACCUCUCCUGGUGGAAAGUGAGUGAGGAGGUCGGAUUACCUGGUAAAUUGUAAAAAACCUUUGUCUAUCACUUGAUCCCGCCAGUUCAAUUAGCAGGGAUCACCGUUGGCGCGCGAAUGAAGCAGGUAAAUACAAUUCAUUCAAGCGUCUAGAUUCGCGAGUAGACGAUUUUACUUGUGCUUGGUGUGAGCACCCUGUUACAACUUUAUUAUACAGUUUAUCUGGGCAACAGCUUUGUCUGAGUUUACAAGCUCCUGGUGAAAAUGGUUUUAUUAAUUCAUGCAUUCAUUUAUUGAGUCCCUUUCUGCUACAGUGGCUGGUGACAUGCCCCCUGUAAUUGUUGCCAUUAGACUUUCUCUUGGUUGACUGUUUUGCAAGUCCUAAGCAAAAGUCCACUUCCAGUUGAACUAUCACAAAAAGAUGUUUUUUGAACAACAUGAAAGCAUAAAGUCUAACUAAAUGAAAUUGUUUAACUUUGAUAAACCCUCUAAACUAAACUUUGACUAAUCUUAUUCUCCAGGCUUUUAAAACAAUAAAUCUGUGAAGUGUCCCUUUAGUGUAAGAACUAAUGCUCCAACGAAAUCAAUGUUGAAUAUCAGCUGAAGAUGAACUGUGGUCUCCAGUGUUGGAGCGCUGGUUCAUCCAUCUAAAUGUCCUGACCUCUAUUCGACUUCUUCCCAUCUGAUUCUAAAGAGCAGUUUUCCGUGGGUUUAAGCAACGUAGGAACGUGGGAUCACUGGCCUUUAUCGGUAACCUUCCACAGCUCUGCUUAGCCACCGCAUGAGUGUACAACCACCCUCUCAGUGCUCUGCUAUCUUCAUCCCAAUAACAUGUAUGAAGAGGUUAAGUACACCAGGACUUGAAUACUGAAAUCCUCUGAAGCCCUGGAGGCUUCUUUACCUUCUGCCAUUAGUAAACAGCGCCGCUUAAGUGCAUCAGCUGCUCGGCAAUGUAAAGAUGAUGCUUAACCCCAACGAUAUUGUUUUAUAUCCACUAUCAACAGCCAUAAGACAUUUCCCACACAAGAUGAUAUCCCACCCAUAACACACCCGCCUUUUAUCCAAAGAAGCCUGAGGCUAAAAGAAAACAUGAUCUGAAAUUUUUAUGCAGAGCUAAACCAGUGAGCUACAAGAGCAGACUCCCUUCUCAGAGACACCCUGGAAACCCUGAAGGAGACGCCACAGAAGCUUGGAAAUGUGCAAAUGAAGCUUCAUUACGCCAAUCUGAAGGCAUGACCGUGGGCGGGAGGUUAAAAUGUGUUAAUGUGCUGACCCUGGGAUUUUUCGCUGUUGGUCAGCAGGCCUGUUGUGAGGCUUCUGUGCAAGCUGAUAAUCCAGCAGUUUGGAAAGACAUGCAGACCUUCAUCUUAUGCAGAAAGAAAAGACCAUAUUCCCAUGGCAACUAUCUAUUUCUGAUGUCAAACUCAUAUUGAUGUCAUGUAAAAUUAAGGGGUUCAAGGAGCCUCAUUGAUUGAGAUAACGUGUUAACCACUUCCUUGUCAAGAGUUAAAUAAAAAAAUCAUGGUGAGAUGAAAAAAGAAAAACAUUUGCACAGGUAGACUGAUGAGACUUUGAAAGUGCUCAUGUUGAUGUUAGUGUCUAGGUUUACAUCAUGUUCAUCAGGCGACAAUACGAUCAUUAAGUUCUGUACAAGCAGGCGGUUUAAUCUUUGACUUUGUUAACUGGCGGCUUUCAACCUGUUACAACGCCAACCACAGAAAGUUACAGGAAAACAGGGUCACUUCUUAAAUCUUACCAAUCAGUACAAUUACAAAUUAAAUAAAUCAAUUUAUCUGAGUGAAACUAGACUUUUAAGAAGCAUAUAAACUCAUUAGUCUGACUGAAAUCGCCAAAGAAAGGCACCUGGUACCUCCAGCACAUCAAACACCUCAGUCACUAACCCGUCUCUUCUCCUCUGUUGUCCCUACCUCCAUUCGAUCCGCGGAGUCCCUCUCUACUUUCAAAAGACAGCUAAAGACCCAGAUCUUUAGAGAACACUACGCACUUAGCUAGAUUAUUCUCCACUGUUGUCCCCAGUGGUUGAAUGAGUCUUACCGUUACCGUAGGCUCACAGUGUCCUGCUCUACUUCUGGGAUUUUGUGCCCAGCUCUUUGUGAGUGACCCAGCACUUGGUACUUUGAUCAUUAUUGUGGUGACGACAAUUUAAUGAUGGUGAUGAUGAAAGGACUUACAUUGGUAAUUGGUUGCUUCAUGGUUGAUGUUUAAAAAAAAAGAAAAAAUCCUUUAUACACUUUGUGAAUCGCCUUCAACACUGCUUGGAAGCGCCUGUGUCCAAAUGGACUUGAAGAAUUUUGUGGCUCCUACUGAUCUUUUUCUUCUUGUCUAGAUCUUUGCUUGUUUUGGUCUCUUUCUCGAAUGUAAGUCACUUUGGAGAAAAACGCCUGCUAAAUGACACUGUAAUAUUGUAAUAUACCUGGAAUUAUGCAGUCUGAGACCAAUUUUGUCCCUCAUGUAUACAGAUCAACUAGACAGAAACUGGCCUUUCAACGUCUAACUGUCUCCACACACCAAGCGUAUGAAUUACAUGUUAAGUCAAUGUAAAGACGCGAUUAGAUGCUCCUACUACGCUGGCCGCACGCAUGAUGCAAGUUGGGCAGAAGCUGAAUAUGUCUCAACUUGAGCGGAUAACUAAUCAUGAUAACUAAUCAGCACGAAGGUUUCUGGAUGACAUAUGAAAACGGACAAUUGUUCACCGGUAUCUAAAAUGGAGGACAAUCUGAUCGUGGCGGUGUGGUCGCCCUAACUUGUUUGAUACCUUUUCCUUUAAUUAUAAAAAGCAGAAUAAAAAGGAGGUCGGAUUACCUGGUAAAUUGUAAAAAACUUUUGUCUAUCACUUGAACCCGCCGGUUGAAUUGGCUGGAAUUACCAUUGGAAUUACUGUUGAUGCGCAAAUGAAGCGAUUAAAUACAAUGUAUUCAUGCGUCUAGAUUCGCACGAAUUAAGCGAGUAGAUGGUUUAAUUGCGUUUGGUGUUAGCGCCCCAUUAUAGUGCAAAUUUGUUGCUAGGAAGCAGAGUAGUAAACACAACCUUGGUAGACGAAGUAAUGACGAAAAAAUGACAAAACUCCCCGUCGUACAAACAUAGAGAGCAGGGUUAUCAGCGAAUGGCGUACAUCCCAUCAGCCUUUCGUUAAUGAGUUUUAUCAAUCGUUUUGAUACCCAGAGAUGACCCACACAGCAAAGCACCCUGGUACAUUGUAGUACAUAUUUAUGGCUGGAUAAUGUUGCAUACAAAUAGACACCAACAUUAACAUGAGCGCUUUUCUAUAAGAAAUAACUUUGGCGUGUGUAAAUGUUUGUCCUUUCCUAUCGUGUCUGUUAUUUGUCACAGUUUCCCACAUUGAGCAUGAUGUCAUAAAACGAUGGCUGCUGUGUGAAAUGGUCUAUUACCCUGAUCACAUGAGGCCGAGGCAUGAGCGCUCUGGCGUUGGGUCAAUAAGAAAAAAGACGUCCAGUUUCUAAUGAGGUACUUAGUCCUCUUUAGUGUCUUUGCUUUUUAUGACAGCCUCACCUAAAGGGUUUAAUCUUCAAAGCCCAGUCAUGUGAGACGUGAAGGUGUUGAAUGACUCCUAAGAGAGCCUCGAAAAGCCUUUUGUACACCCUGAAAGACUGCCCUAUUUUCAAGCUUUUUAAAAGACUCACCUCCUUAUCGAGUGAAACCUCUUCACUUUGUGCAACACGCCCAUUUCUUCUCACAAUGUUUGCCUCCGUGGAGCAGAGUCACUCCCGUUCGGGCGCCCACUCUACCGACUUGCCAUUAAUGAUUACCUGCCAUGCCUGCACUGGGAGAUGUGCCUAAUUAAUUAUACAUGUAAACCAGGCCUUAUUUUAAACAGACUUUUCCGCCGAAUGAUACAGCUGUCAAUCAAAACCACUGAGUCGCAGCCAAGCCGCCGAGCGUGAGUCGCUGUCAUACUUUUGGCUGUUAGAAAAAAGGCGAAGGCAAGCGCUCAAGAAGUGUAGCACACAUUUGUCAUGUCUGAAAUCAGGAUUGGAUGAGGGACGAGUGAUAUUAGUCAUCAUUAGGGAAGAGAGGAGGAGGGAGGACGAGGACGGAAAUGAGCGUUCCCGUUUGGUAAUGCUGUCGAACAAGGUUGCGGUAAAACUGCAUUUCUCUUCUUGACAGGUGUAGAAAUGAUUUGGAAAGAGAAUCUGGCAUUGGAAUUUUCUUUUUUUUUUAUGAAAUGAAAUUUUCUUUCAGAAGACAGGUCAUUUCUUUCACAGGGAAAGACUGCCUCUUUUAACUUUGUAUUUACUGACUCAGUCUGAAAAGAUAGAUACUUGGCAGGAGGACUGAAAAAGUUCAUCGAUUAGAUGCAGAAAUUAUAGCUUUUACUCAGAUCUCUGUUUUCUUAUUGUUCUUUUGUCUUGGAUUUAGGCUUCAUUAAAAAGAGAAUUUUAUGUCUUCAAAGAUGUCCAAAGGAGAUGGUUAAAAAACAGUAAUUAAGUUAUUUAGCCAUCAAAAGCAAGUCCAAAAUGUGGAGUUUUUGUUGUCUUGCUUAAAGACUGUUGAUCCAAAAAAAACAAACAAAAAAAACGAUGUCACCUUAGGAUCUAGUUUGGGAAAUUGUCACUACUUUUUAACACAAUUUGCACUCAGAGCAGAUUUCAUCAUUCUUUUCAGCUUCACACAGAACAUCGGGUCAUUUUUCACCAGUAUUGCAGCUAGUUACCGCAUGAUGACAUUCCUUGCCCCCCCUCCACACACUCACACACACAUGAAGUUGCACCACUGACAGUGAAUACAAAUGUAAUCUCUCAACUCUGACAGUCUGUUAUCUUGAUCCCAUUCUGGUGAACCAUUUUCCUCCCAUGUUCACAAACCGGUGUUUCAUUCUCACCCCGUGUCACUGCCUCCAUCCCUCACAUCUGUCUGUCUAAUGGCCCCACAGACUCUCUCUGGAUACUUCAUUAUGAUGACAGACAUCCGCCAGACGAGCAGAGCCUUCAUGUGUGUGUCCAAUUCAGGAAUCACUUUCUUUGCUCUUUUACACGCCCCGCUCAGUGACCCUGCUUUCACCUGGAAUUAAAAUGGGUCAAUGAAAUCCCAAGGAAAAGAGGUGAGAGAACAGAGUCCUGGUUCAGAUGCAGCCAAAGGGAUGAAAUCAGAUAAUCCGGAUCUAAGGGAUCUUAACCUUAACCCUGAACCUACUCCCUUAAGGGAAUCUCUGCAAAGGAACAGAAUCUGUACUCAGGAGUCUGGAUUUAACGCAUGGGAAGGGUUGGCUGCUGUUUGCAGUAUAUAUGUGGUAGAAAUGCCAAUCAAAUCAGCAGAGGUUACAGUUAAUACUUUUACUUAUUCAUUAUAAUGUUAUUUCAAAGUUAAAAUUACUAUAGGGUCAAACACACAGUAACACUGAGUUAGACACCCCCUCAAAAGAUUAAUGUUGCCGACUGCUUGCUUUUCCAGUUAUACCAACUUUAGUAACGUCCGCACAAUAGCAAUACACAGCGGUCUGAGGAGCCAUAAACAAACGUCAACCAAAACGCCACUCUAUAGCCACAAAUAAUGCUCAGAAUUGCACCAAACUUCAUCAAUUUCCUUAGCAAAGAGACUAAACACAAGUCAUCUACUCUCUUCCAGCAGCCGUUUGUUUGUAGCGAGACCUUGGGCCAAUCCAUUUCGGACAGCUGCGUGGUGACGCAGCUCAAGGAAGAACAGUUAUGAUCAUUUCUUUAUCAUUUUCUUGAAGUAAUAAUCACCAUAUUAAUCAUUUCGCACUGCAGACACGGUAGUUCUUCUGGUCUGAUUGCAUUUCCAUGAAGAAAUGAUCAUAAAUGUUCUUCCUUGAGCUGCGCCACCCCUCUGCAGUCCGUAAUGGACUGCCCUGAGGUCUCACUACAAACAAAUGGCUGCUGGAAGAGAGUAGGUGAGUUGUGUUUAGUCUCUUUACUAAAGAAACCAGGCAAAAUUAAAAAGAUGUUUGGUGGCUAGUACUAUGGCUGGGACCCUAUAUGUACUGUUGAUGAAGUUAGUUGCUGUUCUGAGCAUUAUUUGUGGCUACAGAGUGGCUUUUUGGUUGAGGUUUGUUUUUGGCUCCUCAGACCGCUGUGUAUUGCUAUCCUGUGGUCAUUACUAAAGUUGGUAUAACUAGAGAAGCAAGCGGUUGGCAACAUUCAUCUCUCGAGGGGGCGUCUAACUUGGUGUUACGGUGUGUUUGACCCUAAAUUAAUUUUACACUGAAAUAUCCCUUUAAG